Molecule: ribosomal RNA, 479 nt
Filed under: uncultured bacterium
Lineage: Bacteria
Description: partial 16S ribosomal RNA
Rfam family: Bacterial small subunit ribosomal RNA
Source: RNAcentral
GACGAACGCUGGCGGCGUGCUUAACACAUGCAAGUCGAACGGUAAGGCCCUUCGGGGUACACGAGUGGCGAACGGGUGAGUAACACGUGGGUGAUCUGCCCUGCACUUCGGGAUAAGCCUGGGAAACUGGGUCUAAUACCGGAUAGGACCAUGCGGUUCACGGUGUGAGGUGGAAAGCUUUUGCGGCUGUGGGAUGGGCCCGCGGCCUAACAGCUUGUUGGUGGGGUAAUGGCCUACCAAGGCGACGACGGAGAGCCGGCCUGAGAGGGUGACCGGCCACACUGGGACUGGGAUACGGCCCAGACUACUACGGGAGGAAGCAGUGGGGAAUAUUGCGCAAUGGCCGCAAGCCUGAUGCGGCGGCGCCGCGUGAGGGAUCACUGCCUUCGGGUUGUAAACCUCUUUCAGUAGGGAAGAAGCGCAGGUGACGGUACCUACAGAAGAAGGACCGGCCAACUACGUGCCAGCCGCCGCCGUAA